GCCGCCGCUGCGACCUACUACUUCAUCUUUUCAGAUAUCCCAAUGCCAAGCAAACGGAAAUCUUCUCCGGCUACAAAGCCAGAGUCUUCAUCCGGCAGUAGGAAGUCGAAGAGACUUGUAGUUGAAAGACCAGAUCCAGUAGUAGCUCAACCAUCUGAUUCCGAUUUUGAACCGGAACCUGUUUUAUCAUCAAAGAAGAAAUCCACGAGACGAACAACAGCUGAAAGUUCAGUGGUAGCUUGUCAAUCGGAAAGCAAUAACAAGAAGUUGAAGAAGCCAACUGUUGAAAAGGCAGAAUCUGGUGUAGCUUCACCAGCUGAUAGAGAUUUCGUAUCUGAGUCUGAUUCGGAGACGCCGAGCAAGAAAUCCACGAGGCGAGCUGCAGUAAAGGUGGAACCUUUGGUGGAUUCUGUAGCUGGGAGUGAUUUUGUGGAAGAGGAAGAAGUAGAUGGAAUGGAGCUAGGGAGUCUGAAGAAGAGCUUGUCGAUUUCACCUUCCAAAAGGAAGCCUAAGAGGGCUGAGAAAGUUAAAGAUGAAGAGUGUGUACUUGCCGGUGACCCUGUUCCGGAUGCAGAAGCUAGACUGAAGUGGCCUCAUCGCUAUAAUAAAGGGAAAGAAAAUGGUACCAAGAGCUUAAAUGGUCAAGAUGAUCCGGACCAGUUAAUUCAAGCUAAGUGCCAUUUUAGUCGAGCAGAUGUUGAUGGUCAGAUAUAUUAUCUCGAGGAUGAUGCACAUGUGAAGGCUGCUGAUGGUGAGGACGAUUACAUUUGCAAGAUUGUUGAAUUCUUUGAAGCAGUUGACGGAGUGCAGUAUUUUACAGCUCAGUGGUUUUACAGAGCUAAGGAUACUGUUAUUAAAAGCCAUGAUCAGUUCAUUGACAAAAAACGUGUAUUCCUUUCUGAAAUCAAGGAUGACAAUCCUCUUGAUUGCCUUGUGACCAAACUAAAGAUUGUUCCUGUGCCCUCAAAUGCAACUUCACAGUUCAAGGAAAAUGUAAAAUCAAAUUGUGAUUUCUACUAUGACAUGAAGUACUUGCUUCCAUACUCUUCCUUCAUUAGCUUGCCUCCUGAUACUACAAGUCCAGUUAGUUCAUCUUCUACUAUAUCAAGUGACAUUGAUGCUGGUGAGGUCAAAGAACACAAUCUGGAAAAGAAGCUCUUGGAUCUAUAUUCAGGAUGUGGAGCAAUGUCCACAGGGUUAUGCUUGGGUGCCAAUAGCAAAGGCGUUAAACUUGUUACUAAAUGGGCUGUUGACCUUAACAAACAUGCAUGUGACAGUUUGAGAUUGAACCACCCUGAGACUCAGGUGAGGAAUGAGUAUGCCAGUGAUUUCCUAUCACUUCUGAAGGAGUGGGUACAGCUCUGUGUCUCUUGUUCCUUGAUAAAAGGCAGUGUUCCUCCACACCCUCAUUUGAAAGUAACAGAUGAAGUUGAUGAAGAUGAAGAAAAUGAUGAUGAAGGUGAAGAUUCUGGUGAUGAUAAAGAAGGUGAAAUUUUUGAGGUCGAAGAACUCCUAGAAGUUUGUUAUGGAGAUCCAAAAGAGAAUAACAAACCUGGACUUUACUUCAAGGUUCGCUGGAGAGGUUAUGGUCCAGAGGAAGACACCUGGGAGCCAAUAGAUGGCUUAAGUGACUGCCCGAAGAAAAUCAGUGAGUUUGUGGUGAAAGGCUUCAAAGCAAAUCUUUUGCCGUUGCCUGGUGAUGUUGAUGUUGUAUGCGGUGGACCACCUUGCCAAGGAAUCAGUGGGUUCAAUCGUUUUAGGAAUAAAGAAAAUCCGAUGCAGGAUCCCAAAAAUAAACAACUUGAUGUCUACAUGGACAUUGUGGAUUUCUUGAAACCCAGGUUUGUAUUAAUGGAGAAUGUGGUGGACCUUGUCAAAUUCUCCAAUGGUUUCCUUGGGCGAUAUGCAUUGAGCAGACUUGUAGGGAUGAACUACCAAGCACGGAUGGGAAUGAUGGCAGCUGGUGCGUAUGGUCUUCCACAAUUUCGUAUGCGUGUUUUCAUGUUUGGAGCUCUUUCAUCAGAGAAGUUGCCACAAUAUCCAUUGCCCACACAUAAAGUUAUUGUGAGGGGUGUUAUUCCCGUAGAAUUUGAGUCAAACACAGUUGCGUAUGAUUCAGUCAGGGAUCUCGAGUUAAAGAAAGAACUCUUUCUUGGUGAUGCACUUUCUGAUCUCCCUUUGGUGGAGAACAAUGAGCCAAGAGAUGAAAUGCCUUACACUGAUGAGCCUAAAUCUGAUUUCCAGCAUUUUAUAAGAAUGGGGAGGGAUGGGUUGUUGGGAAGCGUACUAUAUGAUCAUCGUCCUCUUCAGUUGAACGAAGAUGAUCAUCAGCGUGUAUGUCAAAUUCCAAAGCGGAAGGGUGCAAACUUCAGGGACUUGCCCGGAGUUCGUGUUCGGCCAGAUAAUAAAGUUGAAUGGGACCCAGACGUGGAGAGAGUAAAGCUACCUUCUGGGAAGCCUUUGGUCCCUGACUAUGCGAUGAGCUUCGUUGGUGGUAGUUCCUCAAAACCAUUUGGUCGUUUGUGGUGGGAU
This 2532-nucleotide unclassified non-coding RNA is filed under the name Hevea brasiliensis (rubber tree). The record is from RNAcentral. Lineage: Eukaryota; Viridiplantae; Streptophyta; Magnoliopsida; Malpighiales; Euphorbiaceae.